CGGCGGACAAACCAAAACUCUUGUUAUCUUAGUUGAUUCUCUGAGCGUCUUAUUUAAUAAGUCAAAACUUUCAACAACGGAUCUCUUGGUUCUGGCAUCGAUGAAGAACGCAGCGAAAUGCGAUAAGUAAUGUGAAUUGCAGAAUUCAGUGAAUCAUCGAAUCUUUGAACGCACAUUGCGCCCAUUAGUAUUCUAGUGGGCAUGCCUGUUCGAGCGUCAUUUCAACCCCUAAGCACAGCUUACUGUUGGGACUCUACGGCUUCGUAGUUCCCCAAAGACAUUGGCGGAGUGGCAGUGGUCCUCUGAGCGUAGUAAUCUUUUAUCUCGCUUCUGUUAGGUGCUGCCCCCCCGGCCGUAAAACCCCCCAUUUUUUCUGGUUGACCUCGGAUCAGGUAGGAAUACCCGCUGAACUUAAGCAUAUCAAUAAGCGGAG
Molecule: ribosomal RNA, 433 nt
Filed under: uncultured fungus
Lineage: Eukaryota; Fungi
Description: eukaryotic LSU rRNA
Rfam family: 5.8S ribosomal RNA (bases 66-219)
Source: RNAcentral